UACGGAGGAUGCGAGCGUUAUCCGGAUUUAUUGGGUUUAAAGGGUGCGUAGGCGGACGCUUAAGUCAGCGGUAAAAUUGCGGGGCUCAACCUCGUCGAGCCGUUGAAACUGGGUGCCUUGAGUGGGCGAGAAGUACGCGGAAUGCGUGGUGUAGCGGUGAAAUGCAUAGAUAUCACGCAGAACUCCGAUUGCGAAGGCGGCGUACCGGCGCCCUACUGACGCUGAAGCACGAAGGCGUGGGUAUCGAACAGG
RNAcentral lists this ribosomal RNA (252 nucleotides) under uncultured bacterium. RNAcentral's name for it is "partial 16S ribosomal RNA". It matches the Rfam family "Bacterial small subunit ribosomal RNA", at positions 524 to 776 of the family's 1533-position model. The record is from RNAcentral.